Molecule: ribosomal RNA, 407 nt
Filed under: uncultured bacterium
Lineage: Bacteria
Description: partial 16S ribosomal RNA
Rfam family: Bacterial small subunit ribosomal RNA
Source: RNAcentral
GACGAACGCUGGCGGCGUGCCUAAUACAUGCAAGUAGAACGCAGUUGCGAACGGGUGAGUAACGCGUAGGUAACUGCCUCAUAGCGGGGGGUAACUCUUGGGAACGAUAGCUAAUACCGCAUACUGUGAGAUGGACCUGCGUUGUAUUAGCUAGUUGGUGAGGUAAAGGCCCACCAAGGCGACGAUACAUAGCCGGCGUGGGAGGGAGGUCGGCCACAAUGGGAACUGGACACGGCCCAGACUCCUCCGGGAGGCAGCAGUAGGGAAUUUUUGGCAAUUGAGGGAAGUCUGACCGCGCAACGCCGCGUGAGUGGAGAAGGUUCUCGGAGUGUAAAGCUCUGUUGUGAGAGGAGCGGUAACUACCGAGAAAGCGCCGGCUAACUACGUGCCAGCAGCCGCGGUAAUAC